GAUCAAGCUAAAAAGGGCUGACGGUGGAUACCUAGGCACACAGAGGCGAAGAAGGACGUGGCUACCGACGAAACGCUUCGGGGAGCUGGAAGCUUGCUGAGAUCCGGAGAUGUCCGAAUGGGGCAACCCUUUGUACUACCUGCUGAAUAUAUAGGCAGGAAAGAGCGAACCGGGCGAACUGAAACAUCUUAGUAGCCCGAGGAAAAGAAAGCAAAAGCGAUUCCCCUAGUAGCGGCGAGCGAAGCGGGAACAGCCUAAACCACUAGCUAUAAGCUAGUGGGGUAGUGGGACAGCACCACGGGAGAUGGCGGACUAGACGAAGCAGUUGAAAACUGCACCAGAGAAGGUGAAAGUCCUGUAGUCAAAAGAACAAAAUCCCCAGCUGAAUCCCGAGUAGCACGGGACACGUGGAAUACCGUGUGAAUCAGCCAGGACCACCUGGUAAGGCUAAAAACUACUGUGUGACCGAUAGCGAACGAGUACCGCGAGGGAAAGGUGAAAAGAACCCCGGGAGGGAAGUGAAAAAGAACAUGAAACCGUCAGCUUACAAGCAAUGGGAGGACGAUUAAACGUCUAACCGUGUGCCUGUUGAAGAAUGAGCCGGCGACUUAUAGGCGAUGGCAGGUUAAGACGGUGAAAGUCGAAGCCAAAGCGAAAGCGAGUCUGAAAAGGGCGUAUAGUCAUCGUUUAUAGACCCGAACCCGGGUGAUCUAACCAUGUCCAGGAUGAAGCAAGGGUAACACCUUGUGGAGGUCCGCACCGACCGAUGUUGAAAAAUCGGCGGAUGAGGUGUGGUUAGGGGUGAAAUGCCAAUCGAACCCGGAACUAGCUGGUUCUCCCCGAAAUGCGUUGAGGCGCAGCGGUUGAGGUCAAAUCUGGGGGUAAAGCACUGUUUCGGUGCGGGCUGCGAGAGCGGUACCAAAUCGAGACAAACUCAGAAUACCAGAUGUAUUGCUCAGCCAGUGAGACGGUGGGGGAUAAGCUUCAUCGUCAAGAGGGAAACAGCCCAGACCACCUGCUAAGGUCCCAAAAUGACUGCUAAGUGAGAAAGGAGGUGGGGGUGCUUAGACAACCAGGAGGUUUGCCUAGAAGCAGCAAUCCUUGAAAGAGUGCGUAAUAGCUCACUGGUCAAGGGCUCCUGCGCCGAAAAUGAACGGGGCUAAGCAGUAUACCGAAGCUGUGGGAUUGUUAAAACAAUCGGUAGGGGAGCGUUCCGUAUAGGGAGAAGCAGUAGCGGCAAGCAGCUGUGGACAGUACGGAAGUGAGAAUGUCGGCUUGAGUAGCGCAAACUAGGGUGAGAAUCCCUAGCCCCGAAACCCUAAGGGUUCCUCCGGCAGGCUCGUCCGCGGAGGGUUAGUCAGGACCUAAGGCGAGGCCGAAGGGCGUAGUCGAUGGACAACGGGUCAACAAUCCCGUACCGGUGCUAGUAGGUGCAGAGGGACGGAGAAGGUCAAGACCAGCCGGACGAUGGUUACCGGUUCAAGCAAGCAAGGCGUAGAGGGAUGGGGAAAACAUCCGGAGUUGAGCUGCGAGUACGAGCUGCUACGGCGGCGAAGUGGGACGAGAUCGAGCUUCCAAGAAAAGCUCUAAACACUAUUGCUAGGACUGCCUGUACCCGAAACCGACACAGGUGGGGAGGUAGAGAAUACCAAGGGGCGCGAGAUAACUCUCUCUAAGGAACUCGGCAAAAUGGCCCCGUAACUUCGGGAGAAGGGGUGCCCUCAGAAAUGGGGGUCGCAGUGAAGAGGCCCAGGCGACUGUUUACCAAAAACACAGGUCUCCGCGAAGUCGCAAGACGAAGUAUGGGGGCUGACGCCUGCCCAGUGCCGGAAGGUUAAGGAAGUUGGUCAGGGGUAACCCGAAGCUGACGACUGAAGCCCCGGUGAACGGCGGCCGUAACUAUAACGGUCCUAAGGUAGCGAAAUUCCUUGUCGGGUAAGUUCCGACCCGCACGAAAGGCGUAACGAUCUGGGCGCUGUCUCGGAGAGAGGCUCGGCGAAAUAGGAAUGUCUGUGAAGAUACGGACUACCUGCACCUGGACAGAAAGACCCUAUGAAGCUUUACUGUAGCCUGGAAUUGGGUUCGGGCUUGGCUUGCGCAGGAUAGGUGGGAGGCGUAGAAGUUCACCUUGUGGGGGGAACAGAGCCAUCGGUGAGAUACCACUCUAGCGAGGCUAGGAUUCUAACCAACAGCCGUUAGCCGGCUGGGGAACAGUUUCAGGUGGGCAGUUUGACUGGGGCGGUCGCCUCCAAAAAGGUAACGGAGGCGCGCAAAGGUUCCCUCAGGCUGGACGGAAAUCAGCUGGCGAGUGUAAAGGCAAAAGGGAGCUUGACUGCGAGACAAACAAGUCGAGCAGGGUGGAAACACGGCCUUAGUGAUCCGACGGCGCCGAGUGGAAGGGCCGUCGCUCAACGGAUAAAAGUUACUCUAGGGA
RNAcentral lists this ribosomal RNA (2434 nucleotides) under Hormoscilla sp. SP5CHS1. Its description in RNAcentral is "partial 23S ribosomal RNA". It matches the Rfam family "Bacterial large subunit ribosomal RNA", at positions 1 to 2474 of the family's 2925-position model. Lineage: Bacteria; Bacillati; Cyanobacteriota; Cyanophyceae; Gomontiellales; Gomontiellaceae. The record is from RNAcentral.